This 253-nucleotide ribosomal RNA is filed under the name uncultured bacterium. RNAcentral describes it as "partial 16S ribosomal RNA". It matches the Rfam family "Bacterial small subunit ribosomal RNA", at positions 524 to 776 of the family's 1533-position model. The record is from RNAcentral.
GACGAAGGUGGCAAGCGUUGUUCGGAAUCAUUGGGCUUAAAGGGCGCGUAGGCGGCUCAGUAAGUGUCUUGUGAAAUCCCUCGGCUUAACCGGGGAAUUGCUGGGCAUACUGCUGAGCUUGAGGUAGGUAUGGGCGAGUGGAACUCUUGGUGGAGCGGUGGAAUGCGUAGAUAUCAAGAGGAACGCCGGUGGUGAAGACGAUUCGCUAGGCCUGUCCUGACGCUGAGGCGCGAAAGCCAGGGGAGCAAACGGG